This 782-nucleotide long non-coding RNA is filed under the name Fukomys damarensis (Damara mole-rat). RNAcentral describes it as "lncRNA (ENSFDAG00000023742.1)". The record is from RNAcentral. Lineage: Eukaryota; Metazoa; Chordata; Mammalia; Rodentia; Bathyergidae.
CUGCGGCCCUGGCCUGGCCUCGACCCGGCAGUGCCUGUGCCCCCUGCGCCCCCCAGAGCCCUAGUCCUGUGCACCACUCACUCUCCGUUGGUGAACAGCUCGGGUUGUAUUCCGGAACCGAAGCUGCUCAUUCAUCACACUGCUGCCACGACGCGUCUAUGAGCUUCCAGCAGUUCAGAGGGUAACCUUUAAUCUGUGUAGUUGGGUUUAGUAAGGUUUGAUGAUCUGCUGGUAUGUUAGCUUGCUUGGGCUGCCCUAACAAACUACCACUGGCCGCGGGGCUUGAACGAUAUAGAAAUUAAUCUGCUCACAGCAUGUUGUUUUCUUCUGAGGCCUCUCCUCUUUUUUUCUUUUUUUUGUACCAGGGAUCGAACUCAGGACCUUGAGCUUGUGAAGCAGGCAGCAGAACCACUGAGCUAAAUCCCCAGCCCCCUUUCCUCUUGGCUUAUGUGUCCCCUGUCUUCCCUUCAUUCCUGAUGUGGUCUUCUAAUCUCUUAUGAGACUGUCCUAAGGUCGUUUUUUAUUUAUUUUUUGGGGGGUUACCAGGGAUUGCAGGGGUCCUUGCACUUGCAAGGCAGGCCACUGAACCGCUGAGCUAAAUCCCCAGCCCCCUUAAUUGCUUUUUAAAAGGCAAGUCCAAGUACAGUACUGUUCUGAGGUACAGAAGUAGGAGUUAGGAUCUCAACCUGAAAGUUUGGGAGGACACAAGUCAGCCUAUGGGCUAUGACAGCUCCUAAGAUACUUUUCCAGCAUGAUUUCCCAUGCUGCACAUCUGCUCGUGC